RNAcentral lists this long non-coding RNA (6714 nucleotides) under Cucumis sativus (cucumber). RNAcentral's name for it is "long non-coding RNA (CSAT_LNC002469)". Lineage: Eukaryota; Viridiplantae; Streptophyta; Magnoliopsida; Cucurbitales; Cucurbitaceae. The record is from RNAcentral.
UUUUUUUUUUUUUUUUUGUCAAUUGUACAAUCUAAAUUUAUCAUGUAUAAAUAUUUAAUUGACUUUUUUAAUAUUUUGUACAUAUAAUUUGAUUUCUUGACUUAUUGAUUUUCAUGACAAUAAUGUAAAAACAAAAAAGUUUAACCUUCAAUAACAAUAAUUUUGAUUACAGUUGCAUUAACAUGGAUGGUCUAAUUAGGAAUGUUACAAACUAUUCACAAAAUAUAACAAAUUAUGUACUCGGGUAGAGUUUACAAAAGUUUCAGUUAAGCAAAACAUUAAAAAAUGCCUAAUAGCUAAGUUUCAAAAUAAGCAUAACAAAAGGGUCAUGCGAAAUAGAAAGUCAAAUAGAGUUACAUUUAGUGAUAAUUAUGAUUGCAUUCCAAAGAAAAAAAUGAGUUUAUUUUUUAUCAAGAGAGUUACAUCUGUACAUGCAAUGUAAUAUUUAAACUUCUUUUAUCAAGAGAAUUUAAAUAAAAAUGAGUUUAUUUUUAAAAAAUAUUUUUUUUCUUAAGUGAAUCCAAAUUUAAAUAAGUCACAAGUCUUCUAGUUAGAGUGUCCAAAGAAAAAAAGAAUAAAAAAUGUAUAUUUAAAUCAUAUUUUAUAUGGUAGACAUAACAUAUUCUUAAAUUUUAAAAUUAUGUAUAAUCUUGUGUUUUAAAAUUUAAUUAUGUGUCAAAUAUAUUCAAUUUUUUAAGCUUUUACUAUUUAUUUUCUUAAAGUUUUACUGUGGAAGGGGUUUAUAUUUUUUCCAUACAAAAAAUGAUAAAUACAUAGAUGAAAAGAAAAGUUCUAAGAGAAAUUUUCAAAAAUAGCAAAUUUGACAAAAUAUUUACAAGUUAUAGCAAAUUCUAUCAUUGAUAGUCAUUAAUAUGUUAUAGUGAUAGAAUCCAAAAUUUUGCUAUAUAUUCUAAUUUAUUUUGCUAUUUUUAAAAAUGUCUGAAGUUCCAAUGUGUUCAUUUAUUUUUAUUUAUUGAACCAAAAUGUACCAUUUUCUAUUUUUUAUUUGAGUAAUAAAUAAAUUCUUUUUUAAUAAGAAAUUAUACUAACUAUUUUGACUAAAAAAAUCUUAUUUAAUACAUAAAAUUAUAAACAAAUUUUGAAUCUUUUUUAGUCAAACCAACUCAAAUUAUUUCAAUAUCUAAUUUAAUUGACUUGUAAUACAAAAAUGAUAGUAAUAAUUUUAAAUUGGAAGUGAAAUUACUAGUUUAAAUUUUAGAACUAAAAUUAAAAAAAAAAAAAAAAAACUCUCAAUUUCAAUAUCCAAGGCCACACAAACUUCUUAUAAAAUCAAACAAACUCAACUUUACAUUCCAAAUUCCAAACACAGACAAUUAUUGUUACCAACAAUCAACUUCACUCUCCACGAUCCCAAAUACAAACAAUAACAAUUAUCAACUUAAUUAACCCCACGACAUUGCACCCAAGAUUUAUGGUAGUGCAAUUAAGUAGGGAUAGCUUUUAUUUUACUAUCACCUUAUAUAGAUGGACCAUAAAUGGGAGUACACCAGUCCACACAUAAUAUAUUCAUUAUUCGGCCAAUAAGAGUUGCUUAAAGAAAACGAGCUCCUUGAGAUGCUCAGAUAGUUGCUCGUAGACAAUAGCCAUAUAGUUUCCGGGUAGACAAUUAUCGGAUUCAUCCUUAGCCGUCAAGGUAAAACGGUAGUUGACUCCAUUCACAAUUUGCGACUCACACUUCAAUAUACUAAUAAACCUCAAGUGCGUCCCUUCUUUUUUGUUGUGCUCUGCUACUGCCCAUUCUGCUAAUUCUUUCAUGCGUGGACUUUGAGGAUCCUUAACUGGAGUAUAGCCCCCAGGCUCUGAAGAAGCCAUCUUAGAUCUUUUAUUCACUUGUAAUAUUGACAAACUUAUUACAAUAUGGAUGCUUUUAACACGUAUAUGUUUUGAAACUUUGGUAUUUAUAAUAACUCCAGUUUAUUCGUAUUCCAACUACUCCUUCCUUUCAAAUAAUACAUAUUUGGACAGUAGACAAUAAAUAAUAAUAAUAAAAUAAAAAACCCUCUUUCAUGUGCUUUUAAUUAAAUGGACAAUGUAAAUUCAACAGAAUUAUUAACAAAUGAAACUUGGGUUACUAGUCAAUUAAAAAAAGAAAUAUUUUAUUUUAUUUGGAUCAAUUUGAGUUAAUUAAGAAAUGAAAACGCGAGUCAAGGUCUGUAAAAUUUUAUAUUUAUUGUAUCAUAACGUAGACUUAUAAAUUGAUUUAAAAAGGUAUAUAUAAAAUAAAACUAAAUUAUAAAAUAAAAAAUAAUCUUCCAACUUUGUGAUUUGUGAGUACCUGACUUUCAAAAUUUUCAAAAACAUAUUUAACUUUUGAAAAUGGUUCAAAAAACUCAUACGUAAAUGAUGAUUGUAAUCUCACUCCUUUUAUUUGUGGAGGAUAAUGAUGAGUAUAUCUCGAACCUCAAGAAUGCUAUUUUCCUCUUUGAAGCUGCAUCGGGACUAAGCAUAAAUUUAAUCAAAUCUACCAUAUCCCCCAUAAAUGAAAUGUGGAUUCUUGCAGAACUGAAGCUGUGGCAAAAUUUUAGGGGAUUUAAAACUAGUUCCUACCCAUAAAUUAUCUCGGAGUUCCUCUUGGAGGUAAACCAUCAUCAGCCAUUUUCUGGAAAAAUAUCUCUAAGAAGAUCCAUAAAAAAUUGAGCAGUUGGAAGUAUUUUCAUACCUAUCUAAGGGUGGAAAAUUAACUCUUAUUCAUUCAACUCUUUCCAGCUUACCAACAUAUCAAUUGUCUGUCUUCAAAGCUCCUAUUGGCAUCUGCAAAUCUAUCGAAAAGUCAUGGCGUAACUUCCUCUGGAAAAAUCAUGGUGAUGAUAAAAUUACACAUCUUCUGAGAUGGAACAAAAUCACCAUCACCAAAGAAAAUGGAGGCUUGGGUAUUUACAAAGUUGCAGACACUAAUUUCUCUCUUCUAUGUAAAUGGCUUUGGAGAUUCCAUGUUGAACAUAAUUCCUUGUGGAAGAGAAUUAUCCUUGCAAAAUAUUCUCAAUCUUUCAUCGAGGAGAUUCUGACUCUUGCAUAAUAUAGCUCAAAGAAAGCUCCUUGGACAAACAUUAUCAAAGGGGUGGACUGGUUUAAUUCACAGAUCAAAUGAGAUUAAUAAUGGAGAAAAUCUCUCUUUUUGGAAAGGCAUCUGGAGUAGUCUUAGCCCAAGAUUAUUCGCUCUAUCCACAAUACAAAAUGGAUCUGUGAAGGAUGCUUGGAAUUCUAUCUCUGCGAACUGAAAUUUUCAUCCGAGAAGACCUUUGCGUAGCUUGGAAAUUCAACAAUGGAGGGAGAUUAAAAGUGUGCUGACGACCCCUAUUGAAAAUAGAGGUCAAGAUCUUCCAUUAUGGAAUCUGAGUACAAAUGGGUUUUUUUCAGUUCCAUUGGUUAGAAAAGCUAUUCUAAGUUUUGAUCAAGAAAAUUUAACAAAUAUAAAUGCUGAUGUUUUCAAAAAUCUGUGAAAAUGUAAAAUCCCAAACAAGUGUAGAUUCUUCAUCUGAUCUCUUAUUCACAGGUGCAUAAGCACAACUGAGGUUCUUCAAAGGAAAAUUCUCACUCUUCAUCAAAAUCCAAACUGGUAUUAUUUAUGUCGUCAAAGCAAUGAAGACAUUGAUCAUAUUUUCAUAAAUUGUUGUGCUGUCAAAUUUCUAUGGGCUAAAAUUGAGGAUCUUCUUCAAUAGCCAAACCAGCUUCUAAAUGUUUCUUCUCUAUGCGCCGAUCUUUGCUCUAUUACGCAGAGAAAACAAAAAGUAUCAUAACAUUCAAUACCAUUUCAGCUGCUCUUUGGUUCGUUCGGCUGGAAAGAAACAAUCCUAUUUUCAAAGGGAAAGACAAACUACAAACUUUAUGAUACAAUUUUGAUAAUUAAGACUAAAAUAAAGAGUCAUAAUAAAGCUGACAUGAUAAUUAUAAAUAACCAAAAUAAUACCAUAACGUUGUUGACCUUUAAAAUUUUAGUUUAAAGAAGGGAGAGUUUUAUUCUAAAGUCUACCAUACGCAUGAGCUUUACUCUUAUCCCAAUUAUUAGUAUUAAAUAAUUAACUAAUUAUUAUAAAUGCAUUCACAUUCCUCUCAUCCACAAUAAUAAUAUUUGUAACACAAUAAUAUUGUUUUUUUUUUUUAUUUCCUCCUAUAGUUUUCUACUAAUUCUUUUUAUUUUUCUAAAAAGAUGUAACUUAUUAUACACCAACAAGUGGACCGUUUAACCCAUAGAAGACAAAGAUUUAUGGCCAAAAAUUUUUUAAAUCAAUAUAGAGAAUUCAAAAACUUACUCUCGGAUAUAAAUAAUCAAAUUAAAUUUAGAAAAAUCUUGGUAAUUAACUUUGAAAAAAGUUAUUUAUAUAAAGUCGACAAAUAAUAAAUGGUUAGAUUGUUCAAACAUAGUAUGGAAAGAGGCCGGCCACAUUACUUUUAUUUAUUUAGUAACCAUUAACUAGUUUGAUUAUCUUAAUAAACAAUAUUUAUGUGUAUGCUCAUGUUCACAUGGAUGUCUAUGUGAACAUGUAAUUUGUGUGGGUGUGUGUGGAACAUGUAAAUAGAUAUAGUUUUAACAUUUUAAUAAAUAAUAUUUUUUAUGAAUAAUAUUUGUGUGGCAUUCAUACGCACAUGGAUGUCUGUAUGAACAUGUAAACAGAUCUCUUAUGACAAUCUUACAUUUUGUGAAUGUUCAACGAUCAUCGUUGAUGUAGAGUUGUUGAGUAAUAUAAAUAAUAAUAUUAUUUUUAAUAAAAAGAUACGUUAGAUCAAUAGAUGCACCAGAUAGUUUCACUAGGUAAAUAUCCCUUAGUUCCAUCAUCAUUUUCACUUCAUUACAAUAAAGAUCUGUAAAUGUAAUAGUUGUAAGUAGAACACUAUCUACAUUUGUUAAGAGUUGAAAAGAAGCAAUGCAUUAUCUCCAAAAACAAACAAAAAAGAGGUAGGUAGAAAAUUGCUCAAAAGUUAUAUUCUAUUAGAAAACAAAUAUAAACAAGACAUGUGUUAUAAAUUGAUAUAUUAAUUAAGAAUUUAAAAAGCAUUUCUUUGAAAAGGUCAGAGAAAGGACUAAAAAAUGUGAAUAAAUAAGAAUAAUAUCUAAGAUCAAUAAUUAAAAUGAAAUGGUUAAUCAUAUGAGAAAUCUUCGGAAAAAAAUAGCUAUUUUAAUAUAGGAAUGAUUAUUAUAUUAAAUGGAGAAUAACAACGAUUGAAAAUUUUCAUCGAUUAAUGAUAUCACUUUUGAUUUUGGAGCUUGAUGAAGAUGCUAUAACAGAACUGUUAACCUAGUUGAGAUAUAUUGUACAUCCUUAAUCUCUUCUUUCGGUAUACUUUAAAAAAAGUUAUUUAAAAGUAAAUUCAAAUUCAGAUCACAAUCCCCAUGUAAUUCAGUUUCGUUAGGAAAAAUAACAUUUUAGGAAAGUGUUUAUUUAUUUUUUGUGUUAAUGUUUUCUUUCAAAAGUUAGAUGACUAAUUAUAUAUAUAUAUGAAAAAGAGUGAAAAAAACAUUUUAUUCAAAUAAUUACCUUGGGAAGGCAUUUUGGAGGAGUUAAUCCUUCCAUGGAUAUAAAUAUUGGUCGAAAUAUAUUCUUCAAUAUAUAUUUCAAAAUCGAGAGAUUUGAGAUCGAUAUUACAUAUCUAUGGAUAUCUUUGACAUAUUUUAUUAAUACGAGUGUAGAACAUGAAAAGGUCAACUAUUUAGUUAAAUAUAAAUAAGAAUUAAUAUUAAUAAAAAUAUUUGUUACAUAGUUUUGGAAUAAAAGACAUAUUUAUCAAUCUUAAGUAAAUUUUAUAAUUGAUAUUUUAAUCCUGGAUCAAUUUAUCAAAAGUUGUCAUAAAACGAAUAAAAGAAUCUUCUUUUCUAAUGUUUCGUCUCGGUUUUAACCUCUUUUUUACUAUCCAAUUGAUAUACAUAUUUUUUAGGUCACAAAAAAAUGCAUCUAAUAUUUAUAACUCAACCUUGCACUCCACACAAACAUUUUAUAGAAUCAAAUCCAACCCAUCUCUACACUCCAAACACAAUUUCACUCACACCUCCAUCUUACUCCAAAUACAGACAAUAAUUAUCAACUUAACUAAUCCAAUAGCUUUGCACCAGGUAAUGCAAUUAAUCAAGGAUAACUUUUAUUUUAUUAUCCAUUAUAUGAAUGGACCAUAAGGCAAAGGGGAGUAGGCAACACAUACAUAUAUAAUGCAUAAAAUCAGGCAAAUUAAAAGUAGGAGUUUUAUUAUAUAUUCAUUAUUCGGCCAAGAAGAGUUUCUUAAAGUAAACGAGCUCCUUGAGAUGCUUCCAUUGUUGCUCCAAGACAACAGCCAUGUAUGCAGCUUCAUAAUCGUUUUCAUCCUUAGCCGUCAAAGUGAAGCGGUGGUUGACUCCAUUCACAAUUUGCACCUCACACUUCCAUAUACGAAUGAACUUCAAGUGCGUCCCUUCGUUUUUGUUGUGCUCUGCUACUAUCCAUUCUGCUAAUUCUUUCAUGCGUUGACUUUGAGGAUCCUCAACUGGACUAUAGACGUUGGACACUGGAUCAGAAGCCAUUUUAGACCUUUUACUUACUUGUAAUAUUGACAAACUUAUUACUAUAUGGAAUGCUUUUAAUAGAUAUAUAUGUUUUGAAAGUUUGGUAUUUAUACUACUCCCAUUUAUUCAUAUUCCAACUACUCCUUCCUUUCAAAUAGUACAUAUUUAGACAAUAGACAAUAUAGAAAGAAAAAAAAACCCUCUUUCCUGUGCUUUUAAUUAAU